RNAcentral lists this ribosomal RNA (540 nucleotides) under uncultured bacterium. Its description in RNAcentral is "bacterial SSU rRNA". It matches the Rfam family "Bacterial small subunit ribosomal RNA", at positions 29 to 573 of the family's 1533-position model. The record is from RNAcentral.
AUCACGCUGGCGGCGUGCCUAACGCAUGCAAGUCGAACGUCCUGCGGCUUUUCGGAGCAGCAGGGAGUGGCGGACGGGUGAGUAACACAUGGGUGACCUGGCCUCAAGUGAGGGAUACCGGCGAGAAAUCGCCGACAAACCCGCAUAGGCUCCCAGUCGUAGGGGCAGGGAGCAAAGCCUUUUUUCGCAAGAGGAGAGGUGCUUGAGGAUGGGCCUGUGGCCGAUUAGCUAGUUGGUGGGGUAAGAGCCCACCAAGGCCAUGAUCGGUAGCUGGUCUGAGAGGACGAACAGCCACACUGGGAUUGAGAACGGCCCAGACUCCUACGGGGGGCAGCAGUGAGGAAUUUUCCGCAAUGGACGAAGAGUCUGACGGAGCAACGCCGCGUGCAGGAGGACGCGUUUCGGCGUGUAAACUGCUUUUCUGUGGGACGAGUUUGGACGGUACCACAGGAAGAAGCCCCGGCUAACUACGUGCCAGCAGCCGCGGUAAUACGUAGGGGGCGAGCGUUGUCCGGAGUUACUGGGCGUUAAGGGCAUGCA